GGCCUAACACAUGCAAGUCGAGCGGUAACCUUUCUAGCUUGCUAGAAGAUGACGAGCGGCGGACGGGUGAGUAAUGCUUGGGAACAUGCCUUUGUGUGGGGGACAACCAUUGGAAACGAUGGCUAAUACCGCAUAAUGUCUACGGACCAAAGGGGGCUUCGGCUCUCGCCUUUAGAUUGGCCCAAGUGGGAUUAGCUAGUUGGUGAGGUAAUGGCUCACCAAGGCGACGAUCCCUAGCUGGUUUGAGAGGAUGAUCAGCCACACUGGAACUGAGACACGGUCCAGACUCCUACGGGAGGCAGCAGUGGGGAAUAUUGCACAAUGGGCGCAAGCCUGAUGCAGCCAUGCCGCGUGUGUGAAGAAGGCCUUCGGGUUGUAAAGCACUUUCAGUAGUGAGGAAAGGUUAGUAGUUAAUACCUGCUAGCUGUGACGUUACUUACAGAAGAAGCACCGGCUAACUCCGUGCCAGCAGCCGCGGUAAUACGGAGGGUGCGAGCGUUAAUCGGAAUUACUGGGCGUAAAGCGUACGCAGGCGGUUUGUUAAGCGAGAUGUGAAAGCCCCGGGCUCAACCUGGGAACUGCAUUUCGAACUGGCAAACUAGAGUGUGAUAGAGGGUGGUAGAAUUUCAGGUGUAGCGGUGAAAUGCGUAGAGAUCUGAAGGAAUACCGAUGGCGAAGGCAGCCACCUGGGUCAACACUGACGCUCAUGUACGAAAGCGUGGGGAGCAAACGGGAUUAGAUACCCCGGUAGUCCACGCCGUAAACGAUGUCUACUAGGAGUUCGGUUUUUCGGAACUGUCUUCCAAAGCUAACGCAUUAAGUAGACCGCCUGGGGAGUACGGCCGAAAGGUUAAAACUCAAAUGAAUUGACGGGGGCCCGCACAAGCGGUGGAGCAUGUGGUUUAAUUCGAUGCAACGCGAAGAACCUUACCUACACUUGACAUCCAGAGAACUUACUAGAGAUAGUUUGGUGCCUUCGGGA
RNAcentral lists this ribosomal RNA (982 nucleotides) under Pseudoalteromonas sp. UST061013-005. RNAcentral describes it as "bacterial SSU rRNA". It matches the Rfam family "Bacterial small subunit ribosomal RNA", at positions 45 to 1025 of the family's 1533-position model. Lineage: Bacteria; Pseudomonadati; Pseudomonadota; Gammaproteobacteria; Alteromonadales; Pseudoalteromonadaceae. The record is from RNAcentral.